UACGUAGGGUGCGAGCGUUGUCCGGAAUUAUUGGGCGUAAAGGGCUCGUAGGCGGUUUGUCGCGUCGGGAGUGAAAACGCCGUGCUUAACACGGCGCUUGCUUUCGAUACGGGCAGACUAGAGGUAUGCAGGGGAGAACGGAAUUCCUGGUGUAGCGGUGAAAUGCGCAGAUAUCAGGAGGAACACCGGUGGUGAAGGCGGUUCUCUGGGCAUUACCUGACGCUGAGGAGCGAAAGUGUGGGGAGCGAACAGG
This 253-nucleotide ribosomal RNA is filed under the name uncultured bacterium. RNAcentral describes it as "partial 16S ribosomal RNA". It matches the Rfam family "Bacterial small subunit ribosomal RNA", at positions 524 to 776 of the family's 1533-position model. The record is from RNAcentral.